AUGAUUUCCAGAGAUGACACAAGUUUUGACUGUGUUAAAACCAUUUCAACACUUGAGGGGAUGGAAGCUCUUGCUUUGAAGUUUCUCCUGGAAAGACCAAUUCAAUUUGCACAGAUUUUCCUGAAGAAGUAUUUCAAAAGAGAGGAUGAACAAAUGGAAAAUCAAAUGAAAGAGAUUGAAGAAAUGUUCCAGAACCUUCCCAAAGACCAGGACAUGCAGAAGAUUGUGAUUAACAAAGCCUUUCUGUACCUUCAACAUCUGGUGCAGAGCAACCAUGGGAAGCCGGUGAAGAGAUGGGAUUAACGUGGGCAAAAGAAUGACGCAUGAUGCCGAGCUCUUUUACUCCAUAUUCUCA
Molecule: long non-coding RNA, 355 nt
Organism: Oncorhynchus kisutch (coho salmon)
Lineage: Eukaryota; Metazoa; Chordata; Actinopteri; Salmoniformes; Salmonidae
Exons: 3
Source: RefSeq, a predicted model, not a curated record